AUACGGAGGGUGCAAGCGUUGUCCGGAUUUAUUGGGUUUAAAGGGUGUGUAGGCGGUGUAUUAAGUCAGUGGUGAAAGCCUGCGGCUCAACCGUAGAACUGCCAUUGAUACUGACACACUUGAGUAUGGACGAGGUAGGCGGAAUUUAUGGUGUAGCGGUGAAAUGCAUAGAUACCAUAAAGAACACCGACAGCGAAGGCAGCUUACUAGGCCAUAACUGACGCUGAGGCACGAAAGCGUGGGGAGCGAACAGGAUUAGAAACCCGAGUAGUCC
This 274-nucleotide ribosomal RNA is filed under the name uncultured bacterium. Its description in RNAcentral is "partial 16S ribosomal RNA". It matches the Rfam family "Bacterial small subunit ribosomal RNA", at positions 523 to 796 of the family's 1533-position model. The record is from RNAcentral.